UACAAUGGAGAGUUUGAUCCUGGCUCAGGAUGAACGCUAGCGGGAGGCCUAACACAUGCAAGCCGAGCGGUAGAAGACCUUCGGGUCUUUGAGAGCGGCGCACGGGUGCGGAACACGUGUGCAACCUGCCUUUAUCUGGGGGAUAGCCUUUCGAAAGGAAGAUUAAUACCCCAUAAUAUAUUGAAUGGCAUCAUUCGAUAUUGAAAACUCCGGUGGAUAGAGAUGGGCACGCGCAAGAUUAGAUAGUUGGUAGGGUAACGGCCUACCAAGUCAGUGAUCUUUAGGGGGCCUGAGAGGGUGAUCCCCCACACUGGUACUGAGACACGGACCAGACUCCUACGGGAGGCAGCAGUGAGGAAUAUUGGACAAUGGGUGAGAGCCUGAUCCAGCCAUCCCGCGUGAAGGACUAAGGCCCUAUGGGUUGUAAACUUCUUUUAUACUGGGAUAAACCUACUUACGUGUAAGUAGCUGAAGGUACAGUAUGAAUAAGCACCGGCUAACUCCGUGCCAGCAGCCGCGGUAAUACGGAGGGUGCAAGCGUUAUCCGGAUUUAUUGGGUUUAAAGGGUCCGUAGGCGGAUCUGUAAGUCAGUGGUGAAAUCUCAUAGCUCAACUAUGAAACUGCCAUUGAUACUGCAGGUCUUGAGUGAGAUUGAGGUAGCUGGAAUAAGUAGUGUAGCGGUGAAAUGCAUAGAUAUUACUUAGAACACCAAUUGCGAAGGCAGGUUACCAAGUCUUAACUGACGCUGAUGGACGAAAGCGUGGGGAGCGAACAGGAUUAGAUACCCUGGUAGUCCACGCCGUAAACGAUGCUAACUCGUUUUUGGGCCUUCGGGUUCAGAGACUAAGCGAAAGUGAUAAGUUAGCCACCUGGGGAGUACGAUCGCAAGAUUGAAACUCAAAGGAAUUGACGGGGGCCCGCACAAGCGGUGGAGCAUGUGGUUUAAUUCGAUGAUACGCGAGGAACCUUACCAAGACUUAAAUGGGAAAUGACAGAUUUGGAAACAGAUCCUUCUUCGGACAUUUUUCAAGGUGCUGCAUGGUUGUCGUCAGCUCGUGCCGUGAGGUGUUAGGUUAAGUCCUGCAACGAGCGCAACCCCUGUCACUAGUUGCUAACAUUCAGUUGAGGACUCUAGUGAGACUGCCUACGCAAGUAGAGAGGAAGGUGGGGAUGACGUCAAAUCAUCACGGCCCUUACGUCUUGGGCCACACACGUGCUACAAUGGCCGGUACAGAGGGCAGCUACCAGGUGACUGGAUGCGAAUCUCGAAAGCCGGUCUCAGUUCGGAUUGGAGUCUGCAACUCGACUCUAUGAAGCUGGAAUCGCUAGUAAUCGCGCAUCAGCCAUGGCGCGGUGAAUACGUUCCCGGGCCUUGUACACACCGCCCGUCAAGCCAUGGAAGUCUGGGGUACCUGAAGUCGGUGACCGUAACAGGAGCUGCCUAGGGUAAAACAGGUAACUAGGGCUAAGUCGUAACAAGGUAGCCGUACCGGAAGGUGCGGCUGGAACAUCUCAUUUUAGAGCGUCUUC
RNAcentral lists this ribosomal RNA (1530 nucleotides) under Chryseobacterium sp. FH1. Its description in RNAcentral is "bacterial SSU rRNA". It matches the Rfam family "Bacterial small subunit ribosomal RNA". The record is from RNAcentral. Lineage: Bacteria; Pseudomonadati; Bacteroidota; Flavobacteriia; Flavobacteriales; Weeksellaceae.